This 271-nucleotide ribosomal RNA is filed under the name Gammarus balcanicus. RNAcentral describes it as "partial 16S ribosomal RNA". Lineage: Eukaryota; Metazoa; Arthropoda; Malacostraca; Amphipoda; Gammaridae. The record is from RNAcentral.
CUAAGGUAGCAUAGUCAUUUGUUAUUUAAUUGGUAACUGGAAUGAAAGGUUAAACUAGCUUAUUAAGUUUGUAAGGCUAAAUAGAAAUUUAAAGUUAAGGUAAGAAUUCUUUAAUUGUUUAGGGGACGAUAAGACCCUAGAAGCUUAACAAAUAGAGUUUUUGGUUUUAGAAGCUAGUUUGUUUUACUGGGGCGGUAAAAAUAAUUAAGCUAUUUAUUGUUUAUAUGAUCCUUAAAAUAAAGAAAAAGUGGAAAAGUUACUUUAGGGAUAA